Molecule: ribosomal RNA, 431 nt
Filed under: uncultured bacterium
Lineage: Bacteria
Description: partial 16S ribosomal RNA
Rfam family: Bacterial small subunit ribosomal RNA
Source: RNAcentral
AACGAACGCUGGCGGCAGGCCUAACACAUGCAAGUCGAGCGCCCCGCAAGGGGAGCGGCGGACGGGUGAGUAACGCGUGGGAAUAUGCCCUUUGCUACGGAAUAGUCUCGGGACACUGGGGGUAAUACCGUAUACGCCCUUUGGGGGAAAGAUUUAUCGGCGAAGGAUUAGCCCGCGUUGGAUUAGGUAGUUGGUGGGGUAAUGGCCUACCAAGCCGACGAUCCAUCGCUGGUUUGAGAGGAUGAUCAGCCACACUGGGACUGAGACACGGCCCAGACUCCUACGGGAGGCAGCAGUGGGGAAUCUUAGACAAUGGGGGCAACACUGAUCUAGCCAUGCCGCGUGAGUGAUGAAGGCCUUAGGGUUGUAAAGCUCUUUCAGCUGGGAAGAUAAUGACGGUACCAGCAGAAGAAGCCACGGCUAACUCCGUG